UGCAAGUCGAACGAAGUAGCAAUACUUAGUGGCAGACGGGUGAGUAACAUGUAGGUAUCUGCCCUUUGGCCUGGAAUAACACGAGGAAACUUGUGCUAAUACCGGAUAAGUCUUUACGGAGAAAGCUUUAUGCACCAUUGGAUGAGCCUGCACUUGAUUAGUUUGUUGGUGGGGUAAUGGCCUACCAAGACUGUGAUCAAUAGCUGAUUUGAGAGGAUGAUCAGCCACAUUGGGACUGAGACACGGCCCAAACUCCUACGGGAGGCAGCAGUGGGGAAUCUUGCACAAUGGAGGAAACUCUGAUGCAGCGAUGCCGCGUGAGUGAAGAAGGCCUUUGGGUUGUAAAGCUCUUUCGUCGGGGAAGAAAAUGACUGUACCCGAAUAAGAAGGUCCGGCUAACUUCGUGCCAGCAGCCGCGGUAAUACGAAGGGACCUAGCGUAGUUCGGAAUUACUGGGCUUAAAGAGUUCGUAGGUGGUUGAAAAAGUUAGUGGUGAAAUCCCAGAGCUUAACUCUGGAACUGCCAUUAAAACUUUUCAGCUAGAGUAUGAUAGAGGAAAGCAGAAUUUCUAGUGUAGAGGUGAAAUUCGUAGAUAUUAGAAAGAAUACCAAUUGCGAAGGCAGCUUUCUGGAUCAUUACUGACACUGAGGAACGAAAGCAUGGGUAGCGAAGAGGAUUAGAUACCCUCGUAGUCCAUGCCGUAAACGAUGUGUGUUAGACGUUGGAAAUUUAUUUUCAGUGUC
RNAcentral lists this ribosomal RNA (743 nucleotides) under uncultured marine bacterium. RNAcentral's name for it is "bacterial SSU rRNA". It matches the Rfam family "Bacterial small subunit ribosomal RNA", at positions 56 to 847 of the family's 1533-position model. The record is from RNAcentral.